CUUCAUCUCCUCUAUCGCUUUCAGAUGAUUCUUCAUCUUGUUUCUUGCUCUCUUGCUUCUGAGAUAUCAUCUUCAUCUCUUCGCGGACUUUCUCUUCAGCGGAUUUCGCCUCCUCCACUUCUCUUAUAACAAGCUCUAGUCUCUUUUCAGCUUCCUCAGCAGCUAUCAUCGCGGCCUCUGUUUCUUUCUUCAGACUCUCUAUCUUCCUAUUCAUAUUUGCAGCUUCGUUUCUUGCUUCAAUAGCUUCUGUUUUCAUUUGCUCCAGUUUCAAGCUCUCUUGCUUGAGAGCUUCCAACUUUUUUGUUUCCUCAAUCUCUAAUCUCUCUGCUUCUUUCUGCUGCAGCUCUUCGCGUUCUCUUCUCAA
Molecule: long non-coding RNA, 364 nt
Filed under: Arabidopsis thaliana (thale cress)
Lineage: Eukaryota; Viridiplantae; Streptophyta; Magnoliopsida; Brassicales; Brassicaceae
Description: natural antisense transcript overlaps with AT1G12150 (AT1G04933)
Source: RNAcentral